This 361-nucleotide ribosomal RNA is filed under the name uncultured phototrophic eukaryote. RNAcentral's name for it is "SSU rRNA". It matches the Rfam family "Bacterial small subunit ribosomal RNA", at positions 524 to 896 of the family's 1533-position model. The record is from RNAcentral.
GACGGGGGAUGCAAGCGUUAUUCGGAAUUAUUGGGCGUAAAGCGUCUGUAGGUGGUGAGGAAAGUGUUUUGUUAAAGAUCAGGGCUCAACCCUGGGAAAGCAAGGCAAACUAUCUCACUUGAGUUCGGUAGGGGCAGAGAGAAUUCCCAGUGUAGCGGUGAAAUGCGUAGAUAUUGGGAGGAAGACCGGUGGCGAAGGCGUUCUGCUGGGCCGUAACUGACACUGAGAGACGAAAGCUAAGGGAGCAAAUAGGAUUAGAUACCCUAGUAGUCUUAGCUGUAAACGAUGCACACUAUGCUUUGCUUCAGAGCAAAAGCUAACGCGUUAAGUGUGCCGCCUGGGGAGUACAUUCGCAAGGAUG